RNAcentral lists this ribosomal RNA (253 nucleotides) under uncultured bacterium. RNAcentral's name for it is "partial 16S ribosomal RNA". It matches the Rfam family "Bacterial small subunit ribosomal RNA", at positions 524 to 776 of the family's 1533-position model. The record is from RNAcentral.
UACGUAGGGGGCAAGCGUUGUCCGGAUUUAUUGGGCGUAAAGAGCGUGUAGGCGGCUUUACAGGUCCGUUGUGAAAACUCGAGGCUCAACCUCGAGACGCCGGUGGAAACCGUAAGGCUAGAGUCCGGAAGAGGAGAGUGGAAUUCCUGGUGUAGCGGUGAAAUGCGCAGAUAUCAGGAAGAACACCCGUGGCGAAGGCGGUUCUCUGGGACGGUACUGACGCUGAGACGCGAAAGCGUGGGGAGCGAACAGG